RNAcentral lists this ribosomal RNA (263 nucleotides) under uncultured Oscillospiraceae bacterium. Its description in RNAcentral is "partial 16S ribosomal RNA". It matches the Rfam family "Bacterial small subunit ribosomal RNA", at positions 75 to 339 of the family's 1533-position model. The record is from RNAcentral. Lineage: Bacteria; Bacillati; Bacillota; Clostridia; Eubacteriales; Oscillospiraceae.
CUUGCUAUGAGCUAUUUUAGCGGCGGACGGGUGAGUAACGCGUGAGGAACCUGCCUUGAAGAGGGGGACAACAGCUGGAAACGGCUGCUAAUACCGCAUAAGACCACACUAGCACAUGCUAGAGGGGUAAAAGAUUUAUCGCUGAAAGAUGGCCUCGCGUCUGAUUAGCUAGUUGGUGAGGUAACGGCCCACCAAGGCGACGAUCAGUAGCCGGACUGAGAGGUUGAACGGCCACAUUGGGACUGAGAUACGGCCCAGACUCC